This 429-nucleotide ribosomal RNA is filed under the name Acidobacteriota bacterium. RNAcentral's name for it is "Acidobacteria bacterium partial 16S ribosomal RNA". It matches the Rfam family "Bacterial small subunit ribosomal RNA", at positions 355 to 776 of the family's 1533-position model. Lineage: Bacteria; Pseudomonadati; Acidobacteriota. The record is from RNAcentral.
UGGGGAAUUUUUGACAAUGGGGGAAACCCUGAUCCAGCCAUCCCGCGUGUGCGAUGAAGGCCUUCGGGUUGUAAAGCACUUUUGGCAGGAAAGAAACGUCAUGGGUUAAUACCCCGUGAAACUGACGGUACCUGCAGAAUAAGCACCGGCUAACUACGUGCCAGCAGCCGCGUUAAUACUUAGGGUGCAAGCGUUAAUCGGAAUUAAUGGGCGUAAAGCGUGCGAAGGGGGUGUGGAAAGAAAGAUGUGAAAUCCCGGAGCUCAACUUUGGAACUGCAUUUGUAACUACAGGGCUAGAGUGUGUCAGAGGGAGGUGGAAUUCCGAGUGUAGCAGUGAAAUGCGUAGAUAUGAGGAGGAACACCGAUGGCGAAGGCAGCCUCCUGGGAUAACACUGACGCUCAUGCACGAAAGCGUGGGGAGCAAACAGG